AAGGGUAAUAUCCUUGAGUGUUGACGUUACCUACAGAAGAAGCACUGGCUAACUCUGUGCCAGCAGCCGCGGUAAUACAGAGAGUGCGAGUGUUAAUCGGAAUCAUUGGGCGUAAAGCGCGCGUAGGUGGAUGUUUAAGUCGGAUGUGAAAUCCCUGGGCUUAACCUAGGAAUUGCACUCGAUACUGGGCAUCUUGAGUAUGGUAGAGGGAAGUGGAAUUUCCGGUGUAGCGGUGAAAUGCGUAGAUAUCGGAAAGAACACCAGUGGCGAAGGCGGCUUCCUGGAUCAAUACUGACACUGAGGCGCGAAAGCGUGGGGAGCAAACAGGAUUAGAGACCCUGGUAGUCCACGCUGUCAACGAUGAGAACUAGCUGUUGGAGAGUUUACUUUCUAGUAGCGAAGCUAACGCGUUAAGUUCUCCGCCUGGGGAGUACGGCCGCAAGGUUAAAACUCAAAGAAAUUGACGGGGGCCCGCACAAGCGGUGGAGCAUGUGG
This 495-nucleotide ribosomal RNA is filed under the name uncultured Coxiella sp. Its description in RNAcentral is "bacterial SSU rRNA". It matches the Rfam family "Bacterial small subunit ribosomal RNA", at positions 449 to 944 of the family's 1533-position model. Lineage: Bacteria; Pseudomonadati; Pseudomonadota; Gammaproteobacteria; Legionellales; Coxiellaceae. The record is from RNAcentral.